ACUAAGUUGACAGCUGCGAUUCAGCUGAAGGCCUGAUAAACUACGGGACACAGUGACGCAUACAUAAUACGCAAACACUUAACUCCUACGGAGUAAUAGGUGGCGUGUCGGAAGCUACGUUUGUGAUCAGAUUAGAUUACAUUCAAUUUUCAUUCCAUAGAUCCAAAAAUGAGAUGAUUCUCGUGGGUGUGGAACAAGUCAGUUUCUGCAUGCCAUUCUUGACAUUCAUCAGUACGGACAAUACUAACAAUGCCUGCAAGAAUCUCUGACUUCCUCAUCACCAGAAUUUUCAAACUGCAAGGCAUCUGAAGGCAGACAGGGCAGAAAAAUGGCUUCACAACCUGAGCAUAGUGGUGGUUGCCAUACGGCUAGUGAAGACGUCAAAGUGUGUCGGAGCAGUGCACCACCCGAACUGCCUCCUCCCAUUGCCAGUUCUGCUUCGCAAAAUGUUGGGCACACGCAUUCCCAUUCAGAUGUAUCAGAUACUAAUUUGAACACUCAGCAGUUGGAAAUUGCAGUUUCUGAUGCAGCUGAUGGCACAGUGCGUGACACCUGGUGUCCAAGCAUUGAUGACUUACCAGAUGAGAUUCUGAUAAAGAUCUUCUCUUACAUGUCUUUCAGUGAACUCGUAGAUGUAGUACAGAAAGUGUGCUCUCGUUGGAGAAGGCUGUCCCAAGAUUUGGAGUUGUGGGCUGACAAGGAGUACCAUAUCAGAGACUCGAGUGCGAUAGAUUCAGAUAGCUGUAAGGGUGGCACGACUGACCGGGAGGCAAUACAGACCUUCUGCGACACCCCGAACCUGCGAAUUGUGUGCAUGCGGCGUGGUGCCACGUCCCGUGUCUUCCGUGCUCUCUAUAACAAUUGCCAGAAGCUCUCGGAGCUGCAGAUGCACGUCACCCAGAAACUCAGCUACUCUGUGCUGAAGAAUUUGGUUGAGAAGUGCUCCAGAAUACACACGCUGAGAAUACCCAGUGAACUGCUGAAGUCGGAGAAAUUUUCGGAGGCAGUGUCUCAUCUGCAGCACCUCCGUGUGCUGAAUGUAGUCCUACGCUUCACAAAAAGCACUCCCGUACUGCGACCCUUGGGGGACGGGUGCCCGCAACUGGCCGAGGUCGACUUGAGAUCCACAGUUGUCGAUAUGGACGAUCUGAGGUGCUUUCUGAAUGCCAAGAGGAACACCCUUAAGUCCAUACGCAUAAAAUGGACAAUGGCUGGAAAAAAGUGUGUUCUACCAUUGCUGACAGUCUGUGCCGACAGCUUGGAAUGUCUGCAACUUUACGGUUACGACAUAGUCCGCGACGAUGCGAGGGAGGCUUUUACUGCCCUGGGACGUCUGAAGAACUUGAAGGUACUUAAGAUGGCGAUCAUCAAACCGGCACCACCCGGCACAGCCGCUCUGGCGUUUAUGGACGGUGGACUGCCAAAACUGAGGCUUCUGGACCUACGAGGAGGCUACGGUCUGGACGACGACACAGUAAUUGCCAUCAGCCGCGGGUGCCCCGCUUUGCGGGAACUCAUUGUCAGAGGUUGUCAUUUGCUAUCUGAUGCCGCCUUCUCUCAGAUCUACCAUCUGGAACAGCUUGAAAUACUGGACGUAUCACGCUGCAGAGGUCUCGACGGAGCCCUGGUCCCCUACCUCGCUGGGUUACCACGACUUCACACAUUGCUUAUGGAAAAUAUGGAUUUUCCAAAGUUGCAACCAGAUCUAGAUUUCAGUUGAUAGUGCAGCUAUCAUCGGUGUGUUAUAAGUAGUCACGAAGACUAAACAUAAUUACGACUACACACAUUGCAGUCGAACUUGGGCACGUACGAGCAUUAAUCCGACUGACGUCAGGCUAUCCUACCGUAUCACAGUCUGGGCAAUGUGUGGUCACAUACCAGUUCUGCUGUAAAUUUGGCGCAGCCUGUUACCUGGGAAUUACAAGUAGUCAGCUGUACAUGCAAAUGAAUGGCCACCAUCAACUGCAUUCUAGAGCAAAAAUUUGGACAAGGUGGUCCACAGGAGUAACAGCAAUCUGGGACCUAAGUAUUGCCUGGUGUCGAGGUGACCUUAAAGCUACAGAUGGGCUGGCCGAACGGAUGCCCAAUCUUGAAAUCCAUGGCAAAGCUGAAGUAGAGGAACCUACUAUAGGCACGGAGGAACACGAGAGUGGGG
Molecule: unclassified non-coding RNA, 2155 nt
Filed under: Schistocerca americana (American grasshopper)
Lineage: Eukaryota; Metazoa; Arthropoda; Insecta; Orthoptera; Acrididae
Description: f-box/LRR-repeat protein fbxl-1-like, transcript variant X1
Source: RNAcentral